GGCUCCUGGAGGGCUGCCUGGGGGAGGCAGACAUGGGAAUGCCAAGGUGGCCAGAUGGUUCCAGGACUACAAUGUCUUUAUUUUUAACUGUUUGCCACUGCUGCCCUCACCCCUGCCCGGCUCUGGAGUACCGUCUGCCCCAGACAAGUGGGAGUGAAAUGGGGGUGGGGGGAAGCACUGAUUCCCAGUUAGGGGGUGCCUAACUGAGCAGUAGGGAUAGAAGGUGUGAACCUGGGAGUGCUUUCAUAAAUUAUUUUCCUUGUAGAUUUUAUUUUUAAUUUAUCUCUGUGACCUGCCAGGGAGAGGGGAGAGAGAGAGAGAUGCUGUUGAGCACAUGACAAAAUAAAAUAAAAUGGAUGAUUCAUUCUUAA
Molecule: long non-coding RNA, 371 nt
Filed under: Homo sapiens (human)
Lineage: Eukaryota; Metazoa; Chordata; Mammalia; Primates; Hominidae
Source: RNAcentral